GAUGAACGCUGGCGGCGUGCUUAACACAUGCAAGUCGAGCGAGAAGUUUUGAAAAGAUUCUUCGGAUGAAAUUUAAAAUGGAAAGCGGCGGACGGGUGAGUAACGCGUAGGCAACCUGCCCCAUACAAAGGGAUAGCAUUUGGAAACGAAUAUUAAUACCUUAUGAAACUUAACUAGUGCAUGCUAGGUAGGUCAAAGAUUUAUCGGCAUGGGAUGGGCCUGCGUCUGAUUAGCUAGUUGGUGAGGUAACGGCUCACCAAGGCGACGAUCAGUAGCCGUCCUGAGAGGGUGAACGGCCACAUUGGAACUGAGACACGGUCCAAACUCCUACGGGAGGCAGCAGUGGGGAAUAUUGCACAAUGGGGGAAACCCUGAUGCAGCAACGCCGCGUGAACGAUGAAGGCCUUUGGGUCGUAAAGUUCUGUUCUAGGUGAUGAAAACUGACAGUAACCUAGGAGAAAGCCCCGGCUAACUCCGUG
This 479-nucleotide ribosomal RNA is filed under the name uncultured bacterium. Its description in RNAcentral is "partial 16S ribosomal RNA". It matches the Rfam family "Bacterial small subunit ribosomal RNA", at positions 28 to 507 of the family's 1533-position model. The record is from RNAcentral.